UGCGACCGGAACGUAUUUAUUAGAUAUUAGACCAAUCGCAGCAAUGUGAUUGAGAUGAAUCAAAGUAACUGAUCGAAUCGAGGUUUACCUCGAUAAAUCAUCUAAGUUUCUGCCCUAUCAGCUCUCGAUGGUAGUGUAUUGGACUACCAUGGCAGUCACGGGUAACGGAGAAUUAGGGUUCGAUUCCGGAGAAGGAGCCUGAGAAACGGCUACUACAACUACGGUUCGGCAGCAGGGAAGAAAAUUGGCCAAUCCUAAUUCAGGGAGCCAGUGACAAGAAAUAGCAAGCUGGGAAACAUUCGUUUCUACGGCAUUGAAAUGAGAACAGUGUAAAUCUCUUAGCGAGGAACAAUUGGAGGGCAAGUCAUGGUGCCAGCAGCCGCGGUAAUUCCAGCUCCAAUAGCGUAUAUUAAAGUUGUUGCAGUUAAAAAGCUCGUAGUUGAACUUCUGUUCAGGUUCAUUUCGACUCGUCGUGUGAAACUGGACAUACGUUUGCAAACUAGGACCGGCCUUCACUGGUGCGACCUAGGGAGUAAACAUUUUACUGUGAAAAAAUUAGAGUGUUCCAGGCAGGUUUUAGCCCGAAUACAUUAGCAUGGAAUAAUGGAAUAGGACUAAGUCCAUUUUAUUGGUUCUUGGAUUUGGUAAUGAUUAAUAGGGACAGUUGGGGGCAUUAGUAUUUAAUAGUCAGAGGUGAAAUUCUUGGAUUUAUUAAGGACUAACUAAUGCGAAAGCAUUUGCCAAAGAUGUUUUCAUUAAUCAAGAACGAAAGUUAGGGGAUCAAAGACGAUCAGAUACCGUCGUAGUCUUAACUAUAAACUAUACCGACUCGGGAUCGGCUGGAAUAAAUGUCCAGUCGGCACCGUAUGAGAAAUCAAAGUCUUUGGGUUCUGGGGGAAGUAUGGUACGCAAGUCUGAAACUUAAAGGAAUUGACGGAACAGCACACCAGAAGUGGAACCUGC
RNAcentral lists this ribosomal RNA (963 nucleotides) under Tetrahymena gruchyi. Its description in RNAcentral is "SSU rRNA". It matches the Rfam family "Eukaryotic small subunit ribosomal RNA", at positions 191 to 1186 of the family's 1831-position model. The record is from RNAcentral. Lineage: Eukaryota; Ciliophora; Oligohymenophorea; Hymenostomatida; Tetrahymenidae.